Molecule: ribosomal RNA, 1465 nt
Filed under: Klebsiella pneumoniae
Lineage: Bacteria; Pseudomonadati; Pseudomonadota; Gammaproteobacteria; Enterobacterales; Enterobacteriaceae
Description: 16S ribosomal RNA
Rfam family: Bacterial small subunit ribosomal RNA
Source: RNAcentral
AUUGAACGCUGGCGGCAGGCCUAACACAUGCAAGUCGAGCGGUAGCACAGAGAGCUUGCUCUCGGGUGACGAGCGGCGGACGGGUGAGUAAUGUCUGGGAAACUGCCUGAUGGAGGGGGAUAACUACUGGAAACGGUAGCUAAUACCGCAUAANGUCGCAAGACCAAAGUGGGGGACCUUCGGGCCUCAUGCCAUCAGAUGUGCCCAGAUGGGAUUAGCUAGUAGGUGGGGUAACGGCUCACCUAGGCGACGAUCCCUAGCUGGUCUGAGAGGAUGACCAGCCACACUGGAACUGAGACACGGUCCAGACUCCUACGGGAGGCAGCAGUGGGGAAUAUUGCACAAUGGGCGCAAGCCUGAUGCAGCCAUGCCGCGUGUAUGAAGAAGGCCUUCGGGUUGUAAAGUACUUUCAGCGGGGAGGAAGGCGAUAAGGUUAAUAACCUUGUCGAUUGACGUUACCCGCAGAAGAAGCACCGGCUAACUCCGUGCCAGCAGCCGCGGUAAUACGGAGGGUGCAAGCGUUAAUCGGAAUUACUGGGCGUAAAGCGCACGCAGGCGGUCUGUCAAGUCGGAUGUGAAAUCCCCGGGCUCAACCUGGGAACUGCAUUCGAAACUGGCAGGCUAGAGUCUUGUAGAGGGGGGUAGAAUUCCAGGUGUAGCGGUGAAAUGCGUAGAGAUCUGGAGGAAUACCGGUGGCGAAGGCGGCCCCCUGGACAAAGACUGACGCUCAGGUGCGAAAGCGUGGGGAGCAAACAGGAUUAGAUACCCUGGUAGUCCACGCCGUAAACGAUGUCGAUUUGGAGGUUGUGCCCUUGAGGCGUGGCUUCCGGAGCUAACGCGUUAAAUCGACCGCCUGGGGAGUACGGCCGCAAGGUUAAAACUCAAAUGAAUUGACGGGGGCCCGCACAAGCGGUGGAGCAUGUGGUUUAAUUCGAUGCAACGCGAAGAACCUUACCUGGUCUUGACAUCCACAGAACUUAGCAGAGAUGCUUUGGUGCCUUCGGGAACUGUGAGACAGGUGCUGCAUGGCUGUCGUCAGCUCGUGUUGUGAAAUGUUGGGUUAAGUCCCGCAACGAGCGCAACCCUUAUCCUUUGUUGCCAGCGGUUNGGCCGGGAACUCAAAGGAGACUGCCAGUGAUAAACUGGAGGAAGGUGGGGAUGACGUCAAGUCAUCAUGGCCCUUACGACCAGGGCUACACACGUGCUACAAUGGCAUAUACAAAGAGAAGCGACCUCGCGAGAGCAAGCGGACCUCAUAAAGUAUGUCGUAGUCCGGAUUGGAGUCUGCAACUCGACUCCAUGAAGUCGGAAUCGCUAGUAAUCGUAGAUCAGAAUGCUACGGUGAAUACGUUCCCGGGCCUUGUACACACCGCCCGUCACACCAUGGGAGUGGGUUGCAAAAGAAGUAGGUAGCUUAACCUUCGGGAGGGCGCUUACCACUUUGUGAUUCAUGACUGGGGUGAAG